ACUCUAGAGACAACAGUUGAAAUGGAGGAAAGGACAGAGGAGAGCGCAGAAGGGACAGUAGAGUCAAAUGGAGGCACCAAAGAACAGGCUGAGGCUCAGGUGACAAUUCUGCACAGCAGUCUCGAAAAGAAGGACCAGAGAAUAAAACAACUACAGGCACGCCUUGCAAGGCUGCAAAGGCUAAGACGCAGGAAAAGGAAGCCAGCUGCCAUGCCAAAAAAAUCCAAUCCCAAUGAAAUUAUGGAGGAGAUGCUCCAGAGGUGUCCUGAGGGCUGCCGGAACUUCAUAAGGGCACAACUGUCAGAGGCAGGGAAAAAGGACAGAGGGAGAAGGUUCAACAGACACAUGAAGGAUCUAGGGCUGCAGCUGUUACACAGCAGCCCAAAGGCCUACCGACAAAUUAAGGCCAUAUUCUCGCUUCCUUCUGGAAGGACACUUCGGCGUUACGUUAGCGCACGUGUGGGAUAUUUCUCUGUAAAUACGAAUUUAUUAAAUAAGACUACUCAAC
This is a long non-coding RNA of Gadus macrocephalus (Pacific cod), 508 nucleotides long. RefSeq lists it as uncharacterized. NCBI's taxonomy places the organism in Eukaryota, Metazoa, Chordata, Actinopteri, Gadiformes, Gadidae. The transcript has 3 exons. The record is from RefSeq and is a predicted model, not a curated record.